Molecule: ribosomal RNA, 480 nt
Filed under: uncultured bacterium
Lineage: Bacteria
Description: bacterial SSU rRNA
Rfam family: Bacterial small subunit ribosomal RNA
Source: RNAcentral
UUGAACGCUGGCGGCAUGCUUUACACAUGCAAGUCGAACGGUAACAGGUCUUCGGAUGCUGACGAGUGGCGAACGGGUGAGUAAUGCAUCGGAACGUGCCCAGUCGUGGGGGAUAAUGCAGCGAAAGCUGUGCUAAUACCGCAUACGAUCUAUGGAUGAAAGCGGGGGAUCGCAAGACCUCGCGCGAUUGGAGCGGCCGAUGUCAGAUUAGCUAGUUGGUGGGGUAAAGGCCCACCAAGGCGACGAUCUGUAGCUGGUCUGAGAGGAUGAUCCGCCACACUGGGACUGAGACACGGCCCAGACUCCUACGGGAGGCAGCAGUGGGGAAUUUUGGACAAUGGGGGCAACCCUGAUCCAGCCAUGCCGCGUGAGUGAAGAAGGCCUUCGGGUUGUAAAGCUCUUUCAGACGGAAAGAAAACGCAUCGGUGAAUACCCGGUGUGGAUGACGGUACCGUAAGAAGAAGCACCGGCUAACUACGU